Molecule: non-coding RNA, 82 nt
Organism: Callithrix jacchus (white-tufted-ear marmoset)
Lineage: Eukaryota; Metazoa; Chordata; Mammalia; Primates; Cebidae
Source: Rfam
GGGUCAAUGAUGAGAAUCUUAUAUUGUCUUGAAGAGAGGUAAUGACUUAAAAAUCAUGCUCAGUAGGAUUGUGCUGAGGCCC